RNAcentral lists this ribosomal RNA (400 nucleotides) under uncultured bacterium. Its description in RNAcentral is "bacterial SSU rRNA". It matches the Rfam family "Bacterial small subunit ribosomal RNA", at positions 110 to 507 of the family's 1533-position model. The record is from RNAcentral.
GGAAUACGUGGGAAUCUGCCCAGUCGUGGGGAUAACGUAGGGAACUUACGCUAAUACCGCAUGCGCCCUUCGGGGGAAAGCCGGGGACCUUCGGGCCUGGCGCGAUUGGAUGAGCCCACGUCGGAUUAGCUAGUUGGCGGGGUAAAGGCCCACCAAGGCGACGAUCCGUAGCUGGGUCUGAGAGGAUGAUCAGCCACACUGGAACUGAGACACGGUCCAGACUCCUACGGGAGGCAGCAGUAGGGAAUAUUGGACAAUGGGCGCAAGCCUGAUCCAGCCAUGCCGCGUGAGUGAAGAAGGCCCUCGGGUUGUAAAGCUCUUUUGUCCGGAAAGAAAAGCGCCGGGUUAAUACCCUGGUGUCCUGACGGUACCGGAAGAAUAAGCACCGGCUAACUUCGUG